Molecule: long non-coding RNA, 234 nt
Filed under: Setaria italica (foxtail millet)
Lineage: Eukaryota; Viridiplantae; Streptophyta; Magnoliopsida; Poales; Poaceae
Description: long non-coding RNA (SITA_LNC000330)
Source: RNAcentral
UUUUUAUGAAUAAAAUUAGAUAUUUUGGAUAGGGAUUGUUUGUUAUGGAAUUUAGGUGAAAAAGGUUUUAAUCAGUUUAUGGAAUUUUAUAGUAUUUUUAGUUAUUUAGGACUUUUGUUAAAGGGAAAAGUUCGAAAAUAAAAAUCGAUGUGCAGUCUCUCUCGAGGACAGAUAAGUUUCAACUAAGUUUGUAGUGAAGUACUUCGAUUAGGACACACGUACUUUACACAAAAG